ACACCAGUUCGUUUAUUUGCUUU
This 23-nucleotide microRNA is filed under the name Parasteatoda tepidariorum (common house spider). RNAcentral's name for it is "pte-miR-35x-3p". Its record names the gene pte-miR-35w-3p. Lineage: Eukaryota; Metazoa; Arthropoda; Arachnida; Araneae; Theridiidae. The record is from miRBase by way of RNAcentral.